Molecule: ribosomal RNA, 165 nt
Filed under: uncultured bacterium
Lineage: Bacteria
Description: partial 16S ribosomal RNA
Rfam family: Bacterial small subunit ribosomal RNA
Source: RNAcentral
GAAGCUGGAAUUGCUAGUAAUCACAGGUCAGCAUACUGUGGUGAAUACGUUCCCGGGCCUUGUACACACCGCCCGUCACACCAUGAGAGUUGAGAAUACCCGAAGCCCAUGUCAAAGUGGUCGAAGGUAGGCUUGAUGAUUGGGGUGAAGUCGUAACAAGGUACC